Molecule: ribosomal RNA, 491 nt
Filed under: uncultured bacterium
Lineage: Bacteria
Description: partial 16S ribosomal RNA
Rfam family: Bacterial small subunit ribosomal RNA
Source: RNAcentral
AAUGAACGUUGGCGGCGUGGAUUAGGCAUGCAAGUCGUGCGAUAUUCCCUCGCAAGGGGGAUGAAAGCGGCGAAGGGGAGAGUAACGCGUGGAUACCUACCCUGGGGACCGGGAUAGCCGCGGGAAACUGCGGGUAAUACCGGAUAACGUCUUUGGACCAAAGGUGUGAUUCCGCCCUGGGCUGGGUCCGCGUCCUAUUAGCUAGUUGGCAGGGUAAUGGCCUACCAAGGCGAUGAUGGGUACGGGGUGUGAGAGCAUGACCCCGCUCACUGGGACUGAGACACUGCCCAGACACCUACGGGUGGCUGCAGUCGAGGAUCUUCGGCAAUGGGCGCAAGCCUGACCGAGCGACGCCGUGUGCGGGAUGAAGGCCUUCGGGUUGUAAACCGCUGUCAGAGGGGAGGAAGUACCGGGAAGUAAUACAUAAUCGACCCGGUUUGACCUAUCCUCAGAGGAAGUACGGGCUAAGUUCGUGCCAGCCGCCGCUGUAA